Molecule: long non-coding RNA, 351 nt
Filed under: Monodelphis domestica (gray short-tailed opossum)
Lineage: Eukaryota; Metazoa; Chordata; Mammalia; Didelphimorphia; Didelphidae
Description: lncRNA (ENSMODG00000042902.1)
Source: RNAcentral
GAAAUUUGCUGGAAAUAACUGCUCAGAGACCUUGUCAUAAGCCUAAUUCUCUAAUUCUAUCUGUUAACAUGCAAAUCAGAAACCUGGGACUACUUUGUAUGAACUGAUGCCAAGUGAAAUGAGAGCACUUUAUAUAACAACAAUAUGGCAAAGACAAAUAACUUUGAAAGAACUAAGAACUCUGGAUAAAUUGAAGAAAGUCAUGGAAAAAGGGAAGACUUGCAAGAACAGAUGCAAGGCAGAGAGGUGGACUCCUUAUCUUUAUCGUUAACUGAGGAUUACUGCUAACUUCCCAAAUCAAUCCCAUAUAAGUCAUGCUUCAUCUUUCUUGGCUUACUCACAUCAUCAAAG